CAGUAGCCGCGGGAAUACGUAGGGUGCAAGCGUUAAUCGGAAUUACUGGGCGUAAAGGGCGCGUAGGCGGAGAUUACAGUCAGAUGUGAAAUUCCUGGGCUCAACCUGGGAACUGCAUUUGUGACUGGCAAGCUAGAGUGUGUCAGAGGGGGGUAGAAUUCCACGUGUAGCAGUGAAAUGCGUAGAUAUGUGGAGGAAUACCGAUGGCGAAGGCAGCCCCCUGGGAUAACACUGACGCUCAUGCACGAAAACGUGGGGAGCAAACAGGAUUAGAUACCCGUGUAGUCCCUGUCUCUUAUAC
This 301-nucleotide ribosomal RNA is filed under the name uncultured bacterium. Its description in RNAcentral is "partial 16S ribosomal RNA". It matches the Rfam family "Bacterial small subunit ribosomal RNA", at positions 509 to 807 of the family's 1533-position model. The record is from RNAcentral.